GGGUCUAUAGUUCAACGGUAGAACGAUGGUCUCCAAAACCAUUAAUCCAGGUUCAAGUCCUGGUGGACCCGCAA
Molecule: transfer RNA, 74 nt
Filed under: Patescibacteria group bacterium
Lineage: Bacteria
Description: tRNA-Trp
Rfam family: tRNA
About the family: Transfer RNA (tRNA) molecules are approximately 80 nucleotides in length. Their secondary structure includes four short double-helical elements and three loops (D, anti-codon, and T loops).
Source: RNAcentral